RNAcentral lists this transfer RNA (96 nucleotides) under Bacteroidia bacterium. RNAcentral describes it as "tRNA-Ser". It matches the Rfam family "tRNA". Rfam says of the family: Transfer RNA (tRNA) molecules are approximately 80 nucleotides in length. Their secondary structure includes four short double-helical elements and three loops (D, anti-codon, and T loops). The record is from RNAcentral. Lineage: Bacteria; Pseudomonadati; Bacteroidota; Bacteroidia.
GGAGAGAUGGCAGAGUCUGGCUUAUUGCUGUAGAUUUGAAAUCUACCGAGGUAUAGUGAUAUAUCUCCAGGGGUUCAAAUCCCCUUCUCUCCUCCA